AUGUGUGAGUACACGGGCCGAAAGGAUGACCCCCAGAGACACAGCCGCAACGAUCUUCCUGAAGAUGUUGCAGAGGAGAUGACCAAGGCUCUCUUGAACGGGAGCCUGGCAGACUGCGAAAGGACCAGGUUAGCCCCCUUCUGCAAGACCAACCCAGCCCCAGCGGCUGAUGAUAAGUUCUGGCGGGUCAAAUAUGACCAUGAGGCGGCCAAGAAGGCCAGAAAGGCGAAGAAAGCCGCCAAGAAAGCCGCCCCUCGCAAGAAAGGAAACAGGCCUACUGCUUCAGAGCUGAUGCAACUAAGUGACAGCUCCGAGUCAGAGGACGACACCGGAGCAAGUAACCCGGUGGUUGAAGAGGUAACGACAUUUUCCUCCGACUCGGAGCCCUUGCCCAGGCUGAAAAUCCGAAGGGUAACCCGGAAAGUAAGCUUUUCACAUCCUUUAGCUUAUCAAGACCCUCAAUUUAUUUUGAAGCGACAGGUGCAUGAGAGCCGGCGGCACACCCGGACCGACAAAAGCACCGACCUCUCCUCCAGGUUACCUGACGCAUCGAGGAAACGCCGGACCGAGGAAACUUCCCCCUCUUCCGGCGACUCUAUGCAGUCAAGCCUGCCGGCUUUCAAGACCGUGCCCGGUGCCCAGGCCAAGAUCACCAAGAGGGCGAAGAAGUCCAAGCCGGUCGAUGAGCCGGACUUGCCUGAGCCAGAGGCAGCAGCUCAAGAGCCGCCAGCCGCCUCUGCGCCUGAGGCCGCUGCCCCAACCACCAAGACAACUACAGAAGCUUCUGUUAACCCGGAGGCCUCCAGCUCGGCUCCACCAGCAGACGACCCGGACGUGGUAAUCACCCGGACGGAGUUCGUUGAGCUGGGGAGACCUACCGUGCUGGCCAAGUGCUCCGCCAAAGGGGAGCUGUUAGAGUCGCGCCGGGUUAACCUGGACCUCACCGACUACUCCAACUUGAACAUUGGAGAGAUCGUCUCCGGCUUCGUCAGCCAAGUGCACAAGAGCCGGGACGCAGAGAUUGCUAUGGUGACCCAGAUCCAGCAGAAAUCUGAGGCUGCUGGCAAGAAGCUUGAGGCUGACCUUGCUGAUCUCAAGAACCGGCUGAAGAUGCAAGAGAUGGAGACCCGGAAGGCAAACGCCAAGUUUGUAUCCAGCAUCGCCGCGCAAGAGAAGCUGAAGACAGAGUUUGACGCUGAGCGGAAGGCGUGGGCCGAAGAAAAGGCCGCAUUGGUGAACCGGGCUGAACAGGCGGAGAAGGCUCUCUCCGAGAAGACUGCUGAGCUAUCCGGCCUAAAGCGCCAAGUGUCCCAGAUGGUGGCCGCAAUCUUCGGUCCUAGAAGUGCCAACCUGAAUCAGAGUGUGGUGACCAAGCUGAAGGCCGUAUAUACCCUGGUGGAGCAACUCUACACCGGGUCACAACGUGCCUUGGCUGUGGUGGCCCUCUCCAACGAGGUGCCGACUCACCUGGCGGAAGUCCUUCGCCGGCUCGCCGUUCUGCCUCAACGGAUCCAAGAGCUGCGACGGGCCUCUGCAAGAGCCGGAGCGAUCGCUGCGGUGAGCCGGGCCAAGGCGUUCUUGCCAGAGUUAGACCCGGCGGACAUCGCCCUCGGCUAUCCAAGUCUGAAGGAAGACGGCACCGCCUUUGAUCAGAAGUACUUCGCAGCUUGCGUGAAGGCCGUACGCCCGGUGGCCACUCUUAUUGGCAACGAUACAGAUUUGUCCAAGUAUCAGCCAGGCUACGACGCAGAAAAUCAGAGGAUCCCUACUCCGCGCUAUGAAGCCCUCAACUUGAUCCCGCCGGCUCGUCAGCACACUUUCGCCCCGGAGAUUGACCCGGCCGGGUUAAUUGACGAGGAAGCCCAAUUCGAAGCUCUCAGCGGCAUCGACUGGAAGUCAGCAACUUUCCAGGUCUUGGGAUCAACCGGAGGAGAAGAGAGGAACGAUCUGGAGACCUCAACUCAGCAAGCGUUGUAA
Molecule: ribosomal RNA, 1977 nt
Filed under: Triticum aestivum (bread wheat)
Lineage: Eukaryota; Viridiplantae; Streptophyta; Magnoliopsida; Poales; Poaceae
Description: partial small subunit ribosomal RNA
Source: RNAcentral